This 72-nucleotide transfer RNA is filed under the name Methanobrevibacter sp. Its description in RNAcentral is "tRNA-Gly". It matches the Rfam family "tRNA". From Rfam's summary of the family: Transfer RNA (tRNA) molecules are approximately 80 nucleotides in length. The record is from RNAcentral. Lineage: Archaea; Methanobacteriati; Methanobacteriota; Methanobacteria; Methanobacteriales; Methanobacteriaceae.
GCGGAAUUCGUAUAACGGCUAUUACUUCUGCCUUCCAAGCAGAAGACGUGGGUUCGACUCCCACAUUCCGCU